This 1700-nucleotide long non-coding RNA is filed under the name Phasianus colchicus (ring-necked pheasant). RNAcentral describes it as "lncRNA (ENSPCLG00000009410.1)". Lineage: Eukaryota; Metazoa; Chordata; Aves; Galliformes; Phasianidae. The record is from RNAcentral.
GGGAAGUGCUGGGAAAACCCCAUGAGUGGAGAAGCAGGUAUAUACUCCCAGGACCAGAAGGGAAGCGCACGUUUCAUCUGAGCUGGCACAGAGCUGGACAAAGCUGCUUCACUGCUGCAACACUGGGGCUGCCCACUGUUUGGUCCUGCUACCUCCCAUUGCACCCAUUGCUUAAUGAGAGAACUGCAUGAUGAGCUGCUACCAGCACCUUCAAAGCACGUCCUCAUGGAUUUAAUCAAUCCCUAAGAUGACAACAAGGCACCUCACCACUGCAGCUCUGGCAUCCCCCAGUGCUAUUGGAACGGUGCUGGCAGCACUAGCUCUGACCCGGACAUCCGGGGACACUUUGGAAUGGAGUCUCCUUCCUCUGCCCCGUGCCAGAGGAUGUGUCCCAUUGCAGCCAGAGCCUGCCCAGAGCGUGGCACCGCGCUGCUCAGCCAGCAAGGUGCAGCUCAGGAAGCCUGGGAAUCAGCAGCUUGCAUCAAUGCUUGCAUCUCCUGGUGGCCUGCAGACAGAGAAUGGCUCCAAGCAGGAAGGUCGUGAACAGAAAAGCAUCUUUGAAGGCAAAGAAGGCUUCACCCCUCUACAAAUCAAGGAGCUCGGAGCGAGAGUGGUUGAAGGGACAGAGAAGAGAGAAUGUGACCAGAGAAGACGUUAUGAUUUGAAACGAGCAAUCAGUUUCGUGAUGCUGUCUCACUGAUUAACGCGCACAAACGAGCUCUGCCCCAGGAUCAGAAAUGCCCUGUUCCAUUCAAUCUCAGUUCUUUGCAGGCACUGUUCUCAGAAAGGUGUAUGAUUGUUAAAUCAGAGUCCUGCAGAUGCCUGCAACAGCAGCUUUCUGUUGUUGUUGUUAAACUUUCUGCAGUAAAUGAUCCAUAGUGGCAAGGCUGACAACAAAGCAGUCGGUCUGCAGUGCUCGUUGGAGUUCUGAUUUCAGCUUUGGGAAUCCAAGAAAAAUAUCAAGGAAGACUUAUCUGUAUCUCAGAUCAGGAACAUUUUCAGUCUGUUUCUGUAUGUAUAUGUAAUGCAUGUCUACAAUCAUAAAUAUCAGGUGGAACAGCCAAUUUGUUCAUACAGAAUGUAUAAAUGGAACAGAAAGACAGGGAAGUAAAAUAGCAACUAUUUUAAAAACAGAAUAACUGUGCUAGGUCAAGUUAUUUCCAGAAUCACUACAAAUACUGCGGGUAACAUAGAAGAUUUCUAUUUCUAAGUCUUGCUCCUUUCUAAUCCUUAAAUUAACGAGCGUUGUCGAUACAAUUAUGCAGUGGGCUCUAGGCUGGCCUCCCCUCUGCUCAAAGUCAGAAACCAACCUAACCUCCAGCAUGCCGCGCUAACACAGUGCUUCGCUCAGCUCGCGUGUGGUGUGGUACUGAACAGCCAAACGGAGAGGAAAAUAUUUCCUUUGCGUUUACUGCCUACUCGUGUCAGAAGUGGUACGAAGGUGGUCGACAGCUCCGUUUUCUACCAACAGACAGCAGGCUUCACGCACUAAGGCAGAAGAGAUUAAUACCGCAUUAGUAACAUCUCGCUCACCGUUGUCACUGUAAAACGGCUUCAAACAUUCCUUACGCAGAGCAGACAAUGCAGGCAUGCUUUCUUUCCUUUCUUUAUCUCCCUCGUCCCUUCACCCACUGUUUGAUACCUCGAUUUGCCCGUGUCUGGGUGCUGGAAAUACCACUGAGAGCGCGGCUCAGCAGGGU